RNAcentral lists this ribosomal RNA (234 nucleotides) under uncultured Lactobacillus sp. Its description in RNAcentral is "partial 16S ribosomal RNA". It matches the Rfam family "Bacterial small subunit ribosomal RNA", at positions 129 to 354 of the family's 1533-position model. Lineage: Bacteria; Bacillati; Bacillota; Bacilli; Lactobacillales; Lactobacillaceae. The record is from RNAcentral.
CCCCAUAGUCUGGGAUACCACUUGGAAACAGGUGCUAAUACCGGAUAAGAAAGCGGAUCGCAUGAUCAGCUUUUAAAAGGCGGCGUAAGCUGUCGCUAUGGGAUGGCCCCGCGGUGCAUUAGCUAGUUGGUAAGGUAAAGGCUUACCAAGGCGAUGAUGCAUAGCCGAGUUGAGAGACUGAUCGGCCACAUUGGGACUGAGACACGGCCCAAACUCCUACGGGAGGCAGCAGGC